Molecule: ribosomal RNA, 117 nt
Filed under: Carnobacterium pleistocenium
Lineage: Bacteria; Bacillati; Bacillota; Bacilli; Lactobacillales; Carnobacteriaceae
Source: RNAcentral
UGUGGUGAUGAUGGCAAGAAGGGUCACACCUGUUCCCAUGCCGAACACAGAAGUUAAGCUUCUUAGCGCCGAUGGUAGUGAAGGGUUUCCCUUUGUGAGAGUAGGACGUUGCCACGC